Molecule: long non-coding RNA, 1311 nt
Organism: Astatotilapia calliptera (eastern happy)
Lineage: Eukaryota; Metazoa; Chordata; Actinopteri; Cichliformes; Cichlidae
Source: Ensembl
CAGAAAACAAAACCAGGAGGCACGUAAAUGUUUCUUCUCCAUGAUGUUUCUUCAAAUGUUUCUUCUGGAUGAUGAGAAGACUGUGACACGGGAUGCCACCUUUGGUCUUGUGAUAAAGCAAAGCUCAGGAAGAAGUGUGAUUAAAUGGUACCCACAUGUUGAGAAGGAUGUACAGGGGCACCUGCAGCCAAAUCCAAGCUUCAGAGCGGCAGUUUGUGCUCACAGAUGGUGACGGUGUGGAGAGACGGUGGUGUUUCCUCAGAAGAACCAGCAGAGUCACAAAGGACACCAGUCCAUCUCACCACCUUGACUUGCUGACUGAUGCUCGUCUGCACUGCACAGAGGAAAUCAACUGACUGAGGAGUGUUUCCUGGAGUCAUCAUCCAGGUAAAGUGACGUGGAUCAGUGGAUACACUUGUCUCCCCUUUAAAGGAGACGAUCCAAGUCAUCCUUAAAUAUGGGCAGUAUAUCAGUCUUGGACUGUCUAACCUGCCGGAGCAGCACUGAAUGACCACCACACAUGAGCAUGUUCCUGCAACAUUCAGCAUCUGAUCCUUCAUCUGUGUGCUGCUGCUUUUGUGUCAAAUGUCAAACAGCUGGAGAGGAAACUACACCAGUGUACUGGGAUGUUUCAGCAACACGUGCCAGAUGCUGUUCCUUCAUGGUGACAUCACCAGAGACAGUCCCGCCCACCUCAGGACCUCGCCAUUGAUCAUGAUGAUUAUAAUGAUGACAGCGAGCGGAACUAAGACUGUAAAAAUCCACGACCAGAAUGUUUAGAUGCUUUCUAAUUAUUAAUGAAUACUGAGUUUUUGUCUCUCCCUUUUUUUUUUUUUACCUCAUUUGUUACUAACAAAGUUCACCAAACUCACACAGUUUACAUUCCGUAUAUUUCCAUCAAGGUUUAUUUUCUUAGAAAUCAUCGUUUUUCUCCUUUUCUCUUUUGUAAUUGAUGAUAAUUCAGUGAAUAUACUGCGCUGCUUCCUUUUAUUGCGUCACACAUUGCUUUAAGUUUUUCAGAGUCCAGUUAUUUUUUUACUGCUGUUUGAAUUCUCUGUAUGUUUGACCCUGUAGACUGUUUGAUGGACUGCUUGUCUUCCUGUUUGUAACCGCCGCCUGUUUUUGACUAAAGAUUUGGAUUUCUGACUUUAACACAGCCUCUGCAUGUCCUCCCUUUGUGUCCUCUUCCUCUGUGAAUGUGUUGCAUGUGAGAUUCAUUUUAUUAACAGCUUUCCCACAGUGAGUUGCAUCAGCAUUCAUUCACAGCACAUUUCAGAAGGAUUCAGAUUAAUAGAGUGAUCUUAUAGUCAG